CUGUGAUGGAUUACGGUAUACGAUUGAAUGCCCUGUGGGAGAAGUUAUCAACAUCCAGGAAGCGUUUUAUAUUCAAGAAGAGGAAGGUACGUGUUUGGAUGCUAAUCAGCCAUUGACAGACACCAAUUGCUCCUCAUCCGUAGCUCUGGACAGAUACGGAAACCUCUGUAAUGAUAAAAACACAUGUAUGGUGACAGACAGCGAGAGUAUGACAGAAGAAGAUCCUUGUUCAGAUUCCUACCAGUAUGCCCGGAUCAGAUACACCUGUAUCGCUUCUGGUCUUUGUUCUGGUGAUCCCUGUUAUGGCGGCCAAUGUGAUUCCUCCAGUGGUUCUGUUGUAUGCACCAACUGUCCAGAAGGGAAAAUAGGGCCUCGUUGUGAGGUAGAUGGAGUCAUCAUCUGUGAGGGAUCUUCAUAUACUAUUGAAUGUCCCUGCGGGAGAUGUUAUCAACAUCCAGGAGGCAUUUUAUGGCAGAGAAGAUCAAAGCACGUGCCCGGGUACUAAUGAACCAGCCAUUAACAGAUACCAAUUGCUCCUCUCUCGUAGCUCUGGAGGGAUACGGAAACCUCUGUAAUGAUAAACAUACCUGUUUGGUGACAGCCAGUAACAGUGUGACCGGAGAUCCGUGUCUUGGUACCUACAAAUAUGCACGGAUCAGAUACACAUGUAUUGAUGUAUGCCAUCGAAACCUCUGCGCAGGAAGUUUACUGUUUCGUCAUUGCAACCCGUGCCCCCAUAAUGCAUGUAACAAUUGUACCGAUAGUCAGAGUGAAAUACAGAAGAAAUAUUGUUCACCUUGUUGCAUUGGAUAUACUGGAAAAUGCAGAAAAGGAGGAAACGAUGAGUGCAGGACAUACUACUGCUCCUGGCAAUAGACAUAAAUGUAAAACCGCCGCGACUGAACCAACUGAACCACGCCGUGCUCCUGGACCAUGUUAUAUGCCAUGCUUUAGUGCUCACUUAUUUUCCAUUGGACUUACGUUCCAUUAUUUACUUCCAACUUCCAUUGCUGAUGCUCCCACAAGAGAAUCGAAAUCAUAUAUUACUAUAUGAUACGUCAUCAUUCCUUUUCUUGAACAUUCAUUUGAAACUUGCACAGAACUCCGCAAUCUCGUUAAUUUGCUCGCGUCUAAAAAAAAAUUUAAUCUUGUGUUGACGUUAAGAAUUUAAAUUUUCCACAAAAAGCAACUUUACUGGUACACAACGAUUGGUAACUUACAAAUGUAGAAUUGUGUGAUCUCAAAACGUUACACGAUGUGUGCAUGAUUCCACAACUGUAUAAAUGAACAAUAUUUACAUGUUUAUGUACACAUACUUUUUGGUCGACACAGAAAACAAGCAUUUUAGGAAAAGGACUUGCCGCGACUUUCCAAACCCUGGUUAAUGCAUAUGCGUACCUUUGUAACAAGUGCAGUAACGCCAUUACAGAGAAAAUCGGAAAAGGAUUUUCACAAUUGUAGUUUUUUUUUAUAUAUUGCUGGUCUUGAAUACCACUUAAUUAUAUAUCAACACAAAAAGAAAUGUCUAAUAUUACCAACGCGAAAAAAAAAUAUGAGCACGUUAUGAAAUAACGAAUUGGGAAAAUGUAGGUAGAUCAGGCUAAGUAGAACUUGCUGGAAUCUGAAACCAGUUGCACAGUGUUCUCGCUUGCGGUGUCGUUAUAUACAAAACAGAGUCCAAAUAGCUUACUGAUAUAUAAUAUUAUGAACCGUCUGUGGUGCGGAAAUCGAGUUGAAAUCAACAAGCCACUUAUAUUUUUACCCACAUCGUCAUGUUGGCUUUCUCUCUUGAUAACUAAUGAUAUUAAUUGCUUGGAGGUAGACAGGAUUUAUUUUCAUAAAAAAGAACAAGGUACGUGUACUUGAUAAUUGCCGAAAAAUAAAAUUCAAAAACCUUUAAAAAUGCUAUUUCCUAAAUGUUUGAAAAAAGUUAAUCUUUCUUAAUAUUUUCUUUUUGUUUAAUAUUUCAUUGUUUUUUGUUUUGUACUAUUUUCUUAAGCAUAAUAAAUAGCACGGUCUGAAAAUAUUUGUAUGUGCGUUAUCCUUCGGCUUUGGAAACGUUAUCCUCCACAAAUGUCUGAAGUCUAUUAUCGUCCGUGCCCUGCUUCUAUCGUCGAUGAUAAAUAACGAUUACAAACUUGUAAACUAUACUGAUGUGUUUA
Pecten maximus is the source of this 2162-nucleotide long non-coding RNA. RefSeq lists it as uncharacterized. NCBI's taxonomy places the organism in Eukaryota, Metazoa, Mollusca, Bivalvia, Pectinida, Pectinidae. The record is from RefSeq and is a predicted model, not a curated record. The transcript is spliced from 5 exons.